AACAGGGUGGCGUAGUGGAAGCGUGCUGGGCCCAUAACCCAGAGGUCAAUGCAUCGAAACAAUUUCCUGCUA
This 72-nucleotide transfer RNA is filed under the name Paramuricea clavata. It matches the Rfam family "tRNA". Rfam says of the family: Transfer RNA (tRNA) molecules are approximately 80 nucleotides in length. Their secondary structure includes four short double-helical elements and three loops (D, anti-codon, and T loops). Further hydrogen bonds mediate the characteristic L-shaped molecular structure. tRNAs have two regions of fundamental functional importance: the anti-codon, which is responsible for specific mRNA codon recognition, and the 3' end, to which the tRNAs corresponding amino acid is attached (by aminoacyl-tRNA synthetases). tRNAs cope with the degeneracy of the genetic code in two manners: having more than one tRNA (with a specific anti-codon) for a particular amino acid; and 'wobble' base-pairing, i.e. permitting non-standard base-pairing at the 3rd anti-codon position. Lineage: Eukaryota; Metazoa; Cnidaria; Anthozoa; Malacalcyonacea; Plexauridae. The record is from Rfam by way of RNAcentral.